UACGGAGGGGGCUAGCGUUGUUCGGAAUUACUGGGCGUAAAGCGCGCGUAGGCGGCUUUGUAAGUUAGAGGUGAAAGCCCGGAGCUCAACUCCGGAACUGCCUUUAAGACUGCAUCGCUAGAAUUGUGGAGAGGUGAGUGGAAUUCCGAGUGUAGAGGUGAAAUUCGUAGAUAUUCGGAAGAACACCAGUGGCGAAGGCGACUACCUGGCCUGUUUCUUGACGCUGAGGCGCGAAAGCUAGGGGAGCAAACGGG
Molecule: ribosomal RNA, 254 nt
Filed under: uncultured bacterium
Lineage: Bacteria
Description: partial 16S ribosomal RNA
Rfam family: Bacterial small subunit ribosomal RNA
Source: RNAcentral